Molecule: long non-coding RNA, 335 nt
Organism: Hippoglossus stenolepis (Pacific halibut)
Lineage: Eukaryota; Metazoa; Chordata; Actinopteri; Pleuronectiformes; Pleuronectidae
Exons: 4
Source: RefSeq, a predicted model, not a curated record
AGAGCCAACCAGGGAUUCUGAGGUGUCUUCCUUGGUUGACUACAUCCAUGAGACGACAAAACACACUGUGCAAAGGACCUUGAGAACAUCACCACUCUACAGGAAGACACAGUCCAGUAAUGGGUGUCAGAUGUUCAGCAGUGGACGACAGGACCAACCAAUCAAAAUGACUUGCAGAACGCCAUUGAGGACUCUAUUUGAGCAUUAAGCAGCAAAUAUUUCAGCUGUAUCGUCAGGCUGGUGAGACAACAAGAUGCCAACUUUAAUGCCAAUUUCUUUGUGUAACAUACUGUGACAAAAUGUAUUGAUUACUAUUUGUAGAUUGUAAAAAUAGC